CUAAGUUUGAUGGCGACCGGCGCACGGGUGAGUAACACGUAUCCAGCCUGCCGAUGACUCGGGGAUAGCCUUUCGAAAGAAAGAUUAAUACCCGAUGGCAUAGUUCUUCCGCAUGGUAGAACUAUUAAAGAAUUUCGGUCAUCGAUGGGGAUGCGUUCCAUUAGGUUGUUGGCGGGUAACGGCCCACCAAGCCUUCGAUGGAUAGGGGUUCUGAGAGGAAGGUCCCCCACAUUGGAACUGAGACACGGUCCAAACUCCUACGGGAGGCAGCAUG
This 274-nucleotide ribosomal RNA is filed under the name uncultured bacterium. RNAcentral describes it as "partial 16S ribosomal RNA". It matches the Rfam family "Bacterial small subunit ribosomal RNA", at positions 79 to 353 of the family's 1533-position model. The record is from RNAcentral.